GGUAAGGCAGGGCCGGCGGCCGAGUUAGUGUGUAGGUGUCAAGGGUUUGCCGGAAUUAUUGGGCGUAAAGCGCGGGCAGGCGGUUUCUUAAGUCUGAUGUGAAAGCCCACGGCUCAACCGUGGAGGGUCAUUGGAAACUGGGAAACUUGAGUGCAGAAGAGGAGAGUGGAAUUCCACGUGUAGCGGUGAAAUGCGUAGAGAUGUGGAGGAACACCAGUGGCGAAGGCGACUCUCUGGUCUGUAACUGACGCUGAGGCGCGAAAGCGUGGGUAGCGAACAGGAUUAGAUACCCGGGUAGUC
RNAcentral lists this ribosomal RNA (300 nucleotides) under uncultured Lactobacillus sp. RNAcentral's name for it is "bacterial SSU rRNA". It matches the Rfam family "Bacterial small subunit ribosomal RNA", at positions 496 to 795 of the family's 1533-position model. Lineage: Bacteria; Bacillati; Bacillota; Bacilli; Lactobacillales; Lactobacillaceae. The record is from RNAcentral.